RNAcentral lists this long non-coding RNA (866 nucleotides) under Olea europaea subsp. europaea. Lineage: Eukaryota; Viridiplantae; Streptophyta; Magnoliopsida; Lamiales; Oleaceae. The record is from RNAcentral.
CUUUUUUCUCUCUCCUCUAGUUUUCUGUUAUAACCCUAAUGUCAAAUUUCCUCUCGAAUAAAUUCUCCUCUUACUCUGUUCUUUCACUUGCAGUAGCAAAAGCUAGUAGAAUCUCAUAGAAAAAAUGACAGGUGACGGAGAAUGAGCGUUGAAGGAGGUGAAAUCGAAGGCUGAGCUUGAUCAAACCGUUGGGAAGGGCUCUUCGAUCAUUCUACAAUUCUUGGUGUCACGGUGCAAGGACUUCAAGCACAUGGACCAAGUUUUCUCUCAUCUCUCCACUGAUUUUCCCCUCACCCACUUCCUCGAGAUUUAUACUUACCCAUUUUCUAUAUCUCUUUCCGAAACACACACAAAAAUAGUUUAUGCCAAUAUUAUUUUUUUGCUAUUUUCAAUUUUGAUCUGAUUUUUGUUUUUAUUGGUGAAUAUAUUAGAUCUCUUUCCUUUGCUUGUUUCAUUUUUUUUUUGAAUUUAAUAUGAGGAAUUCAAACAUUAUUAGUCAAUAAAGUAAGAAAAGGUGGUGGAGAAGACAGAGAAAAGGGAUGGUUGAUUGUUGAUAUAAAUGUUUAUAAGCAAUGGAUUCCAAGAAAUGUGUGAGGUGGUGCCGCUGUGGAGCAACGACUAAUUGUUGAUAUGUCGAUGGAGAAGACAGAUGAGAAGGGAACAGAUUGUGUUGUCAUUUCGAAAUUCUGUUUUGUGGAUUUUUAUUUGUGUUAAGCAAAAUGGAGGAGAGUGUUACCAUGUAAACGGUGCAUGCAUCUUUUUUACUUGUAACUUUUGGGUAGGAAAUGGUUCAACUCUCUGUGAUUAGAAUCUGACGGUUGAGAAUGAAAGUUAUGAUGUAUUAGUAAAGCCUUAUCCAUUAUCAA